GCUUGUCUCAAAGAUUAAGCCAUGCAUGUCUAAGUGUAAAUACGUCUACACUGUGAAACUGCGAAUGGCUCAUUAAAUCAGUUAUCGUUUAUUUGAUGAUCUCUUGUUACAUGGAUAACCGUAGUAAUUCUAGAGCUAAUACAUGCGUCAAGCCCCGACUUCGGAAGGGGUGUAUUUAUUAGAUUAAAAACCAAUGCCCUUCGGGGCUCACUGGUGAUUCAUGAUAACUUCACGGAUCGCACGGCCUUGCGCCGGCGAUGGUUCAUUCAAAUUUCUUCCCUAUCAACUUUCGAUGUUUGGGUCUUGGCCAAACAUGGUUGCAACGGGUAACGGAGGGUUAGGGCUCGACCCCGGAGAAGGAGCCUGAGAAACGGCUACUACAUCCAAGGAAGGCAGCAGG
RNAcentral lists this ribosomal RNA (400 nucleotides) under Verruciconidia persicina. Its description in RNAcentral is "Acremonium persicinum partial small subunit ribosomal RNA". It matches the Rfam family "Eukaryotic small subunit ribosomal RNA", at positions 30 to 432 of the family's 1831-position model. Lineage: Eukaryota; Fungi; Ascomycota; Sordariomycetes; Hypocreales; Bionectriaceae. The record is from RNAcentral.